Molecule: small nucleolar RNA, 91 nt
Organism: Cryptomeria japonica (Japanese cedar)
Lineage: Eukaryota; Viridiplantae; Streptophyta; Pinopsida; Cupressales; Cupressaceae
Source: RefSeq, a predicted model, not a curated record
AGAGAGUGCAGUGAUGAUUGGUGAUCCCAGCUCACUUUGAGACCUAAAUUGGUCUAGGAAAUUUCAUAUCACCCUACAUCUGAGCAUCUCU